GGCAGGGGUGGUGCAUGGUGCUGUGAAGACACCGGGAAGGGAGUGUCGCUGGCCAAGACGGGCUUCCCCAAUAGGCACCCAGACGCGAGAACGUUCAGCAACUGGAAAUGAAGUGAAAAUUCCCUAGCAAUUGCACAAUGUUCCUCUCCAGCAUUUCUUCUAUUCUGUCACACCUGGAAGCAAGAACCUGAUGACACACAUUUUCACAUGUUUCUACGAUUCUCUCUGUUGAAAGAAGUAGCAGGCAAGGAGUGAUGCAUUUUAUUUG
Molecule: long non-coding RNA, 268 nt
Organism: Callithrix jacchus (white-tufted-ear marmoset)
Lineage: Eukaryota; Metazoa; Chordata; Mammalia; Primates; Cebidae
Source: Ensembl